RNAcentral lists this ribosomal RNA (830 nucleotides) under Diaporthe discoidispora. RNAcentral describes it as "eukaryotic LSU rRNA". It matches the Rfam family "Eukaryotic large subunit ribosomal RNA", at positions 78 to 940 of the family's 3401-position model. Lineage: Eukaryota; Fungi; Ascomycota; Sordariomycetes; Diaporthales; Diaporthaceae. The record is from RNAcentral.
CCCUAGUAACGGCGAGUGAAGCGGCAACAGCUCAAAUUUGAAAUCUGGCUUCGGCCCGAGUUGUAAUUUGCAGAGGAUGCUUCUGGCGCGGUGCCUUCCGAGUUCCCUGGAACGGGACGCCACAGAGGGUGAGAGCCCCGUAUGGUCGGACACCAAGCCUGUGUGAAGCUCCUUCGACGAGUCGAGUAGUUUGGGAAUGCUGCUCUAAAUGGGAGGUAAAUCUCUUCUAAAGCUAAAUACCGGCCAGAGACCGAUAGCGCACAAGUAGAGUGAUCGAAAGAUGAAAAGCACCUUGAAAAGGGGGUUAAAUAGUACGUGAAAUUGUUGAAAGGGAAGCACUUAUGACCAGACUUGGGCCGGGCGGCUCAUCAGGGGUUCUCCCCUGUGCACUCCGCCCGGCACAGGCCAGCAUCGGUUUUCGCGGGGGGAUAAGACCGUCGGGAACGUAGCACCCUCCGGGGUGUGUUAUAGCCCGGCGGACGAUACCCUCGCGGGGACCGAGGUUCGCGCUCCGCAAGGAUGCUGGCGUAAUGGUCAUCAGUGACCCGUCUUGAAACACGGACCAAGGAGUCGUCCAUUAGAGCGAGCGUUUGGGUGUAAAACCCGCACGCGUAAUGAAAGUGAACGCAGGUGAGAGCUUCGGCGCAUCAUCGACCGAUCCUGAUGUUCUCGGAAGGAUUUGAGUAAGAGUUUUAACGGACGGACCCGAAAGACAGUGAACUAUGCUUGUAUAGGGUGAAGCCAGAGGAAACUCUGGUGGAGGCUCGCAGCGGUUCUGACGUGCAAAUCGAUCGUCAAAUAUGAGCAUGGGGGCGAAAGACUAAUCGAAC